UAGGAGCAAGUAAGGUUUCAUGACCCUCUCCUCCCAUUUAAUGGGGUGCUCUUCAUGGCGUGUAGAGGUGCCACUGUGAGGUCCCAUGAAGAAGAAAGUGACAAGAAAAAACUUACUUUCUUGUAAAAUUUUAGGUCUUGAAACCUUAGGUAUUGCUGUAUGUGAUGUAAGUUGUGAUGAAACUAGUUACAUCUAAUCUUG
Molecule: long non-coding RNA, 201 nt
Filed under: Elaeis guineensis (African oil palm)
Lineage: Eukaryota; Viridiplantae; Streptophyta; Magnoliopsida; Arecales; Arecaceae
Description: long non-coding RNA (EGUI_LNC044950)
Source: RNAcentral